GUUCAACUCGCCUACAAUUCUAAGAGUUCGUUAGGUAAGGCUCGUGCCAACCAUCACUACGCGUGAUUGAAAUAAUUAUUUAUAACAACACUUGGGUUAACUACACAUUUAUUAACAAUCUACUUCUAGUUCUCAAUGGAUUUCGGUAAAGUUCUGAUCUGCUCUCUAUGAUGUCUGAAUCUUCACCUAUGUUCUCUAUGAUGUCUGAAGUUCUUCUCUGCUAUUCUGAUCUCUGGAAGGGUUGAAUUGGAGGGAAAGUAGGAGGAGUUCAAAAGGAGUGGCGGUUUCUCGCGGGUCUCGGAUGAUUGGUUAAGGAUGAUGAAAUAAUUGGGGAUAACCCUUCACCGAGAUAUCAAUACCACGAUAGAGGGAAGAUUUUUAUAUUAGUCGUUAAGUCAAGGCCCAUAUCUUUGUUAAUUUUAAGAAAUUUUUUAACAAAAAUUUAUAUGAAACAAGUUUAAUAUACACUUAAUAAAAUACCGACAAUCCGACCCCCUUAUUAGUUAGUCGUCCCUGUGGAAAAAAUUUUAAAAAAUCAGUAAUUUUUUCGGCCAUCACAGUGACGUUCCCCUUUAAAUUGCUAAAUAUUUUCUCAAUCCAACUGUCGGAAUAUCGAAAACAAACCUCAAAGUAAGUACUUAAAUGGUUAGGGAGGUAUUUCUGUGAUUUUAAGUGGGUAAAAAACAACUAUGAACGAAUUUGUAUACGUUAGCCACAUGGCCACCAAGGAGUUAAAUCUAAAUGCGCUAGCUGCACUCACAAAAGAAAAAAAAUGAAUGUAAAAGAACAUCAUUCGAUCGAAAAUAAUAUUGCUGA
Molecule: long non-coding RNA, 816 nt
Organism: Neodiprion fabricii
Lineage: Eukaryota; Metazoa; Arthropoda; Insecta; Hymenoptera; Diprionidae
Exons: 3
Source: RefSeq, a predicted model, not a curated record